Molecule: long non-coding RNA, 575 nt
Filed under: Salvator merianae (Argentine black and white tegu)
Lineage: Eukaryota; Metazoa; Chordata; Lepidosauria; Squamata; Teiidae
Description: lncRNA (ENSSMRG00000018431.1)
Source: RNAcentral
UUCCUGACACAUUAACUUGUUUUGGUCUUAUCUCUUUUUUUUUAGGCCAUGGACUUCACCAUGAUUUUCACAAUGGAACUUCUGGAUCUGCAGCUGUGGAAGAGGCCCCCAUCUUUGUCCAUAUUGGUGCCAAGGAAAUCACUGUACCCUGCCAGGCUGCGAGGACAGAUUUUGCAACUGGUGUGAAUCUAACCUAUACCUGGAACCUGGAAAAUGGAGAAACACAUUCCAUCCAUGGUGAUGCUUCCUUGACUCUACGUAAUUUCCAUGCUGAGGACAGUGGACUAUAUGGUUGCCGCAUCUCCUAUGUGAAGGAAGACCAACUUCAUUCCAUGAUUUUCUAUCAUCCAGUGGUAGGCUACCAUAUACGUGCAGGUUUGCAGGUUCUACUGGUUUUUCAAAGCAGCUCAUGUGAUAAGGCAUUAACAGAUGGGGUCCUGAAGACCCUGAAGGAGCACCUGAGUCGCAUUGUGUCCCACUUUCAUUGUGAGCUCCUACUGGGGACUAGGAGCUGCUUCUCCACCGUGGAAAAACCUUUGGAUGAAUUUGAUCUCCAGGUGGAACUAGAAGGCUAA